RNAcentral lists this unclassified non-coding RNA (200 nucleotides) under soil metagenome. RNAcentral's name for it is "partial contains internal transcribed spacer 2 and large subunit ribosomal RNA". The record is from RNAcentral.
UCAUUACACCUCUCAAGCUCUGCUUGGUAUUGGGCCUUCGUCCCCCGGGACGUGCCCGAAAGUUAGUGGCGGUGCAGCCUGACUUCAAGCGUAGUAACUUAAAACCCGCUUCGGAAGCCUUCAGGUUGGGCCGGCCAGACAACCCCAACUAUUUUUCUAUGGUUGACCUCGGAUCAGGUAGGGAUACCCGCUGAACUUAA